RNAcentral lists this unclassified non-coding RNA (1161 nucleotides) under Hevea brasiliensis (rubber tree). The record is from RNAcentral. Lineage: Eukaryota; Viridiplantae; Streptophyta; Magnoliopsida; Malpighiales; Euphorbiaceae.
GGACUGUUCCAGAAGAUGAUGAGUAAUCAAUUGAAUGGCAUGUGAUUGAAAGGUUCAAGAAUAACUUUUGGAUAAAACCAUUGGGACAUGUGAUUAUUGCAUAGACAACCCUUUUGAAGGAACACUAUGAGCAAGUUUUCGUCCAAUUAUAUAAAUACUUAUGGAAUUUCUUAUAGCUGUAAUUUUUGCUCUCAAUAAUCCAUCUUGAAACUAAUCUCCCUUUUUCGCUUAUGGUACGGCCAAUUCCAAUGGAUUUAUGGCAAUUGGCACUAAUCUAGUGGAUUUAUGGCUAUUGGUAUUUAAUUCCACUUGUGAGUCCAAAAUGAUCUCACAAGGCCUGGGUUUAAGCUGAAAUAUUGGGUGGAAGUAAAAGAGGGUAGUUUUAGAGGUUGAGGGACAAGAGUAGCGAAUGAUAAUCCCCAGAAUGGUUCAGUAAUGGCCAGAGUCAUAGCCAGCAGAGUAAACUAGUUUUAGAUUGUCACUUGAGAACUUGAGAUAAUAUCUAGGAAGUGAGUGCAGGAUGGAUGGUUUAGGGAAAUGUAGCAGUUUGAUAAAAUCUUAACUUCUUGAGGAACUGGUGAUCAUGUUGAACCCUAAUGAUUGAAAUUGUUUAGGCCACUGCAAAUGAAUUUGCCCGACUCAGGAACUGUGAUAGAAAAUUGUUCCUGGACUUUGAUAACAUAGCCAGCAAAACAUAUAGGCUCACAAAGUGAAAAUGUUUGAGAGUUUUUAUAUAUUAGCAUAGAAUUAUAAUGUGUUUGGUAGAACAUGGAUGGAUCACUGGAGCCGAGCUCAAUUGGUUCGGAACUAGGCCUUCAUUAGUAGUGCAUGUGCUUGUUAAACUUGGCAUUGUUUACAUUGUUAACAUUGACCAAAAGGAAUAGAAGGGGGGAGCAAAUUGUCUUACAGGAUUAUUAAGCAGCAUCAUGAUUAUGGAAUAAUCUGGUCUCAAGACAUGUUUUAAACUCUUUAAUCUAUGUGAAAAUUUGUCAACUUCCCUGAUACUCAUAGCGUAUUUUUAUGAUAAAAAUAAGAACUUGCUUACUUUACACUGCUGCUCAGUUGAUAUGUAUUUUUAUUGUAACUUGAAUAGAAAAUCUGGAUCAUGCAAACGCUACUGCUUCAUUUCCAUAGACUUCUGAUGCUGAAAUUCACUAUGCA